RNAcentral lists this long non-coding RNA (3192 nucleotides) under Monomorium pharaonis (pharaoh ant). RNAcentral's name for it is "uncharacterized LOC118645117". The record is from RNAcentral. Lineage: Eukaryota; Metazoa; Arthropoda; Insecta; Hymenoptera; Formicidae.
UGAUUUUGCAAGAAAUCGAUUGUGUUGUAAUGUCGCUUUUAAUUUCGCAAAUUUUAUAGAGACAAACACCUUUGCGAAUUUUAUUUAAGAAUAUUUCAUUUCUCAUGACAUGCGCAUUUCAAAGUUAUAUUCCAUAUUCUUCGCGAUAAAACAUAAAUAUCAUUUCGUUAAUUCAUAAAGAUAUUUAUACCUUGGAUGAUUUGGUAAUAACAGAUCUCUUUUUCUAACUAAACUCUCCCUCGAUUUGCUCUAUCAAUUUAUUAAUCUCCUGUAAAUUAUUCAAAGCGAAGAAAAAUCCAAAACCUAGGUUUUGUUACGAACCCCCUUGAUUUUACUUUUAACGCGAACGCUUCUCGCGCGAAACGCACUGAAGCGGCCCUGAACGUGGAUGGGAGAACUCGCUCGCGCGUGGACGCAUGAUGUAACGAAUUCGCAGGUAGCGUGACUUCGAUUCCCACCAAAUAGUCACGCUACUCGCACCGCCAGUCGUGCCGUGGUCGGCAACUAGAUCGCCUUAAUACGAUGCACGGAAUAACACUCGGGACGGUACGCGCGUCGCGGAAGGCCGCGCGGAUGAUUUGUCGCGGCGGAACGUGCGAAAAUUACACGGAGGAGUUGGCGCGCAAACGAGCCGGAUGUAAGCUGCGUUUUUGCACGGCUGCGCUGCGGUUUCUUUCUCGCGUCGGACAGCAUUCGCGGCGAGCACUUCGUCGGUUAGCCGAGAGUCAUUUAUAGGGCCUCAACAAUCGGGUGUACCGUUCGCACCGUUGAGAUACUACUCCGUUAUUGAUGGCCCUUGUUAAAAUUAUUCGCGUGAUUUAUACCGGAUUAUAUGGUCGUACGUCGUUUGUAUUUAUCUGCCUUUAAGCACACCGUGUCCGCUCUCGCGUUUUCUCUCGUCAAGGAAUUUUAUCAGAAUGAUAAAUAAUUCUCUGCUCGGCAGACGUUAUGUACUUUGUACGUUUUGACAAGUUGGUCUUUACGUAUUAAUGCGCGCGCAAUUUCCUCAACUGAAUUCAACAGCCCUCUGGCUGGUCCUCCAGCGCGGCUAAAGCCUUUGUAUACUGGACUAUAGUAUUAUAACUAAUUACGACGGUAGAGCCGAAACCGCCAGUGUACAUGAAUAUGUAAUACUGUAUACUUGCAUAUGUAAUUAUGUAAUCCUAUCUAAUUCUAUAAUCUGACUCUAUAAAUAAUUCCGUAUAAUACUAAAAUAAGAGUAGUAUGGUAAAAAGGCAUUAGUUUCUAUACACAGGUCACGUUUUUUGGAUAAGAUGUACAAGCAAUUUAUAUUCGAAAACAAAAACAGAAAAGACGAAAGGACCAGAGUGAAGAACGAAUGCACUGGGCCAGCGUCGGAGUUUCACAAAUAUAAAGGGCCGCUAACAAUGAACGAGGCGUCGCAGAAAAGAAAGCAGACCGAGCUGGGCGAGAGAACAAGAGCGCGAGGCUCUCUCUAAAAAUACUUGGUUUUAUGGGAUCAUAACGCCGCGCGAGUUCGUUUCUCGCGGGGCGUGCAGCCAGGCCUACCCACCCGCUCAUAAAUCCCUUUGGCCGUUAGGUUCACGUGUGAAAUUGCUAUUACGUCUCGGUCCUACCGCAGCUGUCGCUACGCGGAAACCGCUCGUGUGUGUGUGUGUGUGUGUGUGUGUGUAUUCCUAAGUCGACAGUGUUUCACACCCGAUCAUCGAAUCGAGCGAGACGGCCUGGAUCAAUUAACUAAAAGUCGCGAAACGAAGAUAUUGCCCGUCGCCUGCCAGGCGUCGACGAAAACAAAUCGUCGCUGGCUUCAAAUUGUAAUUUUAUUAUAAUAGAUAAAUUAUGAAAUUUAAAAAAUUCGAUGAAUAUGGAAUUCGAUAGCGGUAGAGUAUAAUGGAUAUAUCUCUCUUUAAGAAAAAAUAUGGAAGAUUUACUUUCGAAAAUUACGAAAGCCUUACUAAAUAAAGGGAAAAUAUUAAUUUAUAUUAAAAACAAAUUAUUUAGAUUUAAGAAUUCUUAAUAUCUAAGUUUCAGAUUGUUUUAUUAAAAUCUUUAGCUAUUUUACAAGGUUGAAUUUGAAGAUCCGUGAAAAACGCAAAAAAUCGGAAACCAAAAAAUACAAAAACCUAACAGGAAGAUUUUAUGGGGUUUAUUUAGUUCCAUGGAUGUAUGUUCUAUUGGAGUUAUAUCGCCACUGACAUUAAUUCUAUGCGAUUAUAUGGAAGCAAGAAGCUCAAUAUGCGCAACGAGCCUCGCCACUAAUGUCAAUUACCGUUAAUCUACCUAAUUGCUCACGGAUAAUUUCUAAUUGAAAGUAUAACGUUCAAAUGAGUGGGCUUAAUCUUCAUCGAUUAUGGAUAAAGGCUGAUAAUGGCAUAAGCGUUUUGCAAGACAGAUAAAACUACAACGCAAUAUUCAAACGAAAAUAACCGAUAAAAAUCCUCAAUGUCGAGAAAUAGGAACGAACGCGAUAACAGCUGCGCAACAGUUUUUACUGUACGCUAAUUGCUAUUCCGCAUAAUUAUCACUGCGCCUUCCAACGCGACUCACCUUCGCUAUUCUUUACCCGACCUAUAACUGCGAUGUAAUCGUGAAUGAUAGUUUCCGGAAUAAAUCUAUGCAAUUAAUAAACAUGAUUAGAAAACAUAUUAAACUUGUUGAUUAUUUUUCCAAAAACAUCGUUAAAUAUGAACGUCUAAUAUCUUUAUUGUAAAAAUGUAGCUGAAGCUAGCAGCCAAACACAGCAGCCAAUUGCCGAGCGGCCAGAGCUGAACGUCAUAUAGACGUUUCUAGGGGGCACCAUUCGAUCAAACGUUAAAAAUUCCCUGGUUAUGAGAUUUUCAACGAACUUUGAAAAGUUUGCAUAGGGUUUAGUCAUUAUAAUACAUAAUCGAUCAUUUGCGGCAAGACUUUAAUUUACCAAUUAUUAUAAAAUUUUUAAAUUAUCAUACAGAUGACACGUCUUUUUUAGAAAAAGGAUUACGUUCGUCAGACGAACACAAGAAACGCUGUCUUCAAAUUUCUACGAAAAUACUUUUUGAAGUCUAAAACGACUUAUUUAACCGUAUAUGAGAAAUUUUAUGAAAAUGCACUUUUGCAAAACAUAAUUGAUUACCAGAAUAAUGCAACAAUUUUUUUUUGUAAAGUACAUUACCGCUUUUUGCUGCACGCAGAGCCGACGACGAGGACGUAGCGGUUUCACGGUUCCCCAAA